This 605-nucleotide long non-coding RNA is filed under the name Ananas comosus (pineapple). Its description in RNAcentral is "long non-coding RNA (ACOM_LNC006117)". The record is from RNAcentral. Lineage: Eukaryota; Viridiplantae; Streptophyta; Magnoliopsida; Poales; Bromeliaceae.
UUUAGACACCUAAAAGGUGAGUGUAUAUCUUGCACUCUUAUUUUUUAAGGAUCAAUAUUAAUUUUCACACCAAUUUUAUUAGUUUCUGUUAUUUUAAUACUAAAUUCUCAUACUAUACUUUCAUUAAAGAUACCGAUCAUUCUUGACGCAAGUGGCAAAGGAUCUGGUGGUUGAUAUCCGAGAUCUCAAAUUCAAAUCCUAAUUGAUUUAUAUUUUCAGUCAAGUUUAUUUUUAAAAAAAAUUAAACGAAGCAAGUAGCAUGCUACCUAAGUCUCAUCAAAGGUCUAAAUAAACGCACUUCGUUUGCCACUUAUAAUCUGAACUAUGGAUUAUAUUGAAAUAAAUUAUCUAAUCUUUCGAAAUUUUAUUUUUUCGAUUCCAUCUUUUAACUUAUCUGAUUUGAGUGAGUCAAGAGCACUUCGACUUCAAAUUUUGAAUCUAUCAUUUAUCUUAUUAUUUAUCUUCACAAAUUUAAUUAGUAUGUUUCGUGCAAUCCUCAUAAUUAUAAAUUUUAAAAUAAAAAUAUCGUUGAUUGAUUCAAAUUAAAAAAAUUAAAAAAUUAUAUAAUAAAAAUAGAAUUUUAAAAAAUUGAGCAAGAAUUUUAA